UACAGAGGUCCCGAGCGUUGUUCGGAUUCACUGGGCGUAAAGGGUGCGUAGGUGGUGAGGUAAGUCGGAUGUGAAAUCUCCGGGCUCAACCCGGAAAUGGCAUUGGAAACUACCUUGCUGGAGGAUUUGAGGGGGGAUUGGAAUACUUGGUGUAGCAGUGAAAUGCGUAGAUAUCAAGUGGAACACCAGUGGCGAAGGCGGCGACCUGGGCCAAUACUGACGCUGAGGUGCGAAAGCGUGGGGAGCAAACAGG
This 253-nucleotide ribosomal RNA is filed under the name uncultured bacterium. RNAcentral's name for it is "partial 16S ribosomal RNA". It matches the Rfam family "Bacterial small subunit ribosomal RNA", at positions 524 to 776 of the family's 1533-position model. The record is from RNAcentral.